RNAcentral lists this ribosomal RNA (460 nucleotides) under uncultured bacterium. Its description in RNAcentral is "partial 16S ribosomal RNA". It matches the Rfam family "Bacterial small subunit ribosomal RNA", at positions 338 to 795 of the family's 1533-position model. The record is from RNAcentral.
CCUACGGGUGGCAGCAGUGAGGAAUAUUGGUCAAUGGACGAGAGUCUGAACCAGCCAAGUAGCGUGAAGGAUGACUGCCCUAUGGGUUGUAAACUUCUUUUAUAUGGGAAUAAAACGUUCCACGUGUGGGAUUUUGUAUGUACCAUAUGAAUAAGGAUCGGCUAACUCCGUGCCAGCAGCCGCGGUAAUACGGAGGAUCCGAGCGUUAUCCGGAUUUAUUGGGUUUAAAGGGAGCGUAGGUGGAUUGUUAAGUCAGUUGUGAAAGUUUGCGGCUCAACCGUAAAAUUGCAGUUGAAACUGGCAGUCUUGAGUACAGUAGAGGUGGGCGGAAUUCGUGGUGUAGCGGUGAAAUGCUUAGAUAUAUCGAAGAACUCCGAUUGCGAAGGCAGUUCACUGGACUGCAACUGACACUGAGGCUCGAAAGUGUGGGUAUCAAACAGGAUUAGAUACCCCUGUAGUC